UACGUAGGGCAGCAAGCGUUGUUCGGAGUUACUGGGCGUAAAGGGUGUGUAGGCGGUUUUUUAAGUUUGGUGUGAAAUCUCCCGCUCAACUGGGAGGGUGCGCCGAAUACUGAAAGACUAGAGUGCGGGGAGAGGAAAGUGGAAUUCCUGGUGUAGCGGUGAAAUGCGUAGAUAUCAGGAGGAACACCGGUGGUGUAGACGGCUUUCUGGACCGUAACUGACGCUGAGACACGAAAGCGUGGGUAGCAAACAGG
RNAcentral lists this ribosomal RNA (254 nucleotides) under uncultured bacterium. RNAcentral's name for it is "partial 16S ribosomal RNA". It matches the Rfam family "Bacterial small subunit ribosomal RNA", at positions 524 to 776 of the family's 1533-position model. The record is from RNAcentral.